RNAcentral lists this unclassified non-coding RNA (269 nucleotides) under Hevea brasiliensis (rubber tree). Lineage: Eukaryota; Viridiplantae; Streptophyta; Magnoliopsida; Malpighiales; Euphorbiaceae. The record is from RNAcentral.
GCAGGCCCUGAUAAUGAUGGUAUAGCAAAUGCACGAGAAAGGGCCCCAACUACUGAAAAGUUCUUUCUCUGGUCAAUUACAAACAAAUUUGCCUUUGCUGAUGCUAAAGUUGCAGGAGCUUCAAGCACAUUGCAAGUCAGUUCAUCCUGCAGACGCUACAUAAUAGAAGAAUUUCGAAUUGCGAAACCACAUUCUCUGUUGGGCAAGUGAAAUUUCUACAUAAUCUCAAAGCCUGCUUUCUGCCCCCAAAAUGGAUUCUGGAGUCCCAG